UUAUUUUUACUUAUUAUAACUUUCAUUGUAUAUGUUUCAUUUAUUUUUAAAAGUUUUAUUCUUGCUUAUUUAUUCACUAUUUCUUUAUAUUAUAUAUAAGUUUUGUUUAACUAAAUGUUCUAUUUUUUAUAGUAAUUAAAUUUAAUUAUCAAGUUAUUUUGGAAUUAGUAAUUGAUUUAGUAUUGGCAUAUUUCGUGCCAGCAGCCGCGGUUAUACGAUUAAUACAAGUGAAUAUUUUUGGUUAAUGUAGUUAUAAUUUAUUUUGAGUUUUAAUAAAUAAUUAUUAGGUGAAAUUUUAUUUUUUUUUUUGACUCUAAAUUUAGAAUCUGUGAAACUUAUAAUUUAAACUAGGAUUAGAUACCCUAUUAUUUUAAGUGUAAAUAUUUUUUGCCUGGGUAGUAUUAGUUAAGGUCUUAAAACCCAAAGAAUUUGGCGGUAUUUCAUUCCAUUCAGAGGAACCUGUCUCGUAAUUGAUAGUACACGAUUUACUUUACUUAAUUUAUUUGUUUGUAUAUCUCCGUUACCAGAAAAUCUUUUUUGGAGUUAUAAUUUUCUUAUUUUUUGAUUAAAAAUUAUUUCAGGUCAAGGUGCAGCUUAUAGUUAAGAGUAUGAUGGGUUACAAUAAAUUUUUUUAUUAUGGAUUAUAAUUUUGUAAUAUUUUAAUGAAGGUGGAUUUGGUAGUAAUUUAAAUUAUUUAAUUUAUCUGAUAUUGGCUCUGAAGUGUGUACACAUCGCCCGUCACUCUCGUUAUUGAUUAAAAUUUAUUUUCAUUUAAUAUGAGAUAAGUCGUAACAUAGUAGAUGUACUGGAAAGUGUAUCUAGUAAGUUAAAU
RNAcentral lists this non-coding RNA (832 nucleotides) under Oedaleus abruptus. The record is from RNAcentral. Lineage: Eukaryota; Metazoa; Arthropoda; Insecta; Orthoptera; Acrididae.